CCUACGGGAGGCAGCAGUGGGGAAUAUUGGGCAAUGGGCGCAAGCCUGACCCAGCAACGCCGCGUGAAGGAAGAAGGCUUUCGGGUUGUAAACUUCUUUUGUCAGGGACGAAGCAAGUGACGGUACCUGACGAAUAAGCCACGGCUAACUACGUGCCAGCAGCCGCUGUAAUACGGAGGUGGCAAGGGUUAUCCGGAUGUACUGGGUGUAAAGGGCGUGUAGGCGGGGAAGCAAGUCAGAUGUGAAAACCACGGGCUCAACCUGUGGCCUGCAUUUGAAACUGUUUGUCUUGAGUGCUGGAGAGGUAAUCGGAAUUCCGUGGGUAGCGGUGAAAUGCGUAGAUAUACGGAGGAACACCAGUGGCGAAGGCGGAUUGCUGGACAGUAACUGACGCUGAGGCGCGAAAGCGUGGGGAGCAAACAGGAUUAGAUACCCUAGUAGUC
RNAcentral lists this ribosomal RNA (443 nucleotides) under uncultured bacterium. RNAcentral describes it as "partial 16S ribosomal RNA". It matches the Rfam family "Bacterial small subunit ribosomal RNA", at positions 338 to 795 of the family's 1533-position model. The record is from RNAcentral.